UACGGAGGGUGCAAGCGUUAAUCGGAAUUACUGGGUGUAAAGCGCGCGUAGGCGGCUUUGCAAGUCGGGUGUGAAAUCCCCAGGCUUAACCUGGGAACUGCAUUCGAGACUGCAUUGCUAGAGUAUGGGAGAGGGAAGUGGAAUUUCCGGUGUAGCGGUGAAAUGCGUAGAUAUCGGAAGGAACAUCAGUGGCGAAAGCGACUUCCUGGACCAAUACUGACGCUCAUGUGCGAAAGCGUGGGGAGCAAACAGG
RNAcentral lists this ribosomal RNA (253 nucleotides) under uncultured bacterium. Its description in RNAcentral is "partial 16S ribosomal RNA". It matches the Rfam family "Bacterial small subunit ribosomal RNA", at positions 524 to 776 of the family's 1533-position model. The record is from RNAcentral.